This 790-nucleotide ribosomal RNA is filed under the name uncultured bacterium. RNAcentral describes it as "bacterial SSU rRNA". It matches the Rfam family "Bacterial small subunit ribosomal RNA", at positions 8 to 796 of the family's 1533-position model. The record is from RNAcentral.
AGAGUUUGAUCAUGGCUCAGAGCGAACGCUGGCGGCGUGCUUAACACAUGCAAGUCGAGUGCGCGUUUCCGUAGCAAUACGGAAAUGGCGCACGGCGCACGGGUGCGUAACACGUGGGUAAUCUGCCCUUCGAUGGGGAAUAACUCGCCGAAAGGCGAGCUAAUUCCGCAUAACAUUCCUUGGACUCCGGUCUGAGGAUUCAAAGGCGUAAGUCGUCGGAGGUGGAGCCCGCGCACGAUUAGCUAGUUGGUGAGGUAAUGGCUCACCAAGGCUAUGAUCGUUAGCUGGUCUGAGAGGAUGGCCAGCCACACUGGAACUGAGACACGGUCCAGACUCCUACGGGAGGCAGCAGUGGGGAAUCUUGCACAAUGGGCGAAAGCCUGAUGCAGCGACGCCGCGUGGGGGAUGAAGCUUCUCGGAGUGUAAACCCCUUUCGACCGGGACGAAUACCUCGCAAGAGGGGUGACGGUACCGGUAUAAGAAGCCCCGGCUAACUACGUGCCAGCAGCCGCGGUAAGACGUAGGGGGCCAGCGUUGCUCGGAAUUACUGGGUGUAAAGGGUUCGUAGGCGGUGUAGCAAGUCGGGAGUGAAAUCUCUGGGCUCAACCCAGGGGCUGCUUCCGAAACUGCUGUGCUAGAGUGUGGGAGAGGCGCGUGGAAUUGCAGGUGUAGCGGUGAAAUGCGUAGAUAUCUGCAGGAACACCCGUGGCGAAAGCGGCGCGCUGGACCACUACUGACGCUGAGGAACGAAAGCUAGGGGAGCAAACAGGAUUAGAUACCCUAGUAGUCC